RNAcentral lists this ribosomal RNA (1444 nucleotides) under Cytobacillus firmus. Its description in RNAcentral is "bacterial SSU rRNA". It matches the Rfam family "Bacterial small subunit ribosomal RNA". The record is from RNAcentral. Lineage: Bacteria; Bacillati; Bacillota; Bacilli; Caryophanales; Bacillaceae.
UUGCUCUAUAAUGCACUCGAGCCGUCGAUUGGACUUGGUCCCUUCAGUCAGCGGCUGAUGGGUGAGUGACUCGUGUUUCACCUACUUGUAAGACUGUCUUACCUCCUGCAAACCCGUCCUAAUACCGCAUUAUUUUUUCCUUCACCUGAUGAUUAGCUGAAAGAUGGUUUUUGCUAUCACUUACCUAUGGGCCCGCGCCGCAUUAGCUAGUUGGUGAGGUAACCCCUCACCAAGGCAACAAUGCGUAGCCAACCUAAGAGGGUCAUCGCCCACACUGAACCUGACCCAAUCUUAUAAUAUUUUAACUGGAGCUUUUUCAUUGGGGCACCCUUCCUAUAAGACUGCAGGACCGACAAAACCACUAGUAGGGGGAGUUUUUUGAGGGUUUUCGAACCUUAAAAAUUCUGUGGUAAGGGAAGAACAAGGUACCGGAGUGACUGCGGGUACCUUGACGUAGCAUUACCAGAAAGCCACGGCUAACUACGUGCCGGCAGCCGCGGCUAAUACGUAGUUGCAGGCGUUGUAUCGCAAUUAUGGGGCGUAAGGCGCGGCGCAGCAGUCGCCUGUAAGUCUGAUGGGAAAGCCCCGGCUCACCUGGGGAGGGUCAUUGGAAACUGGGGACUUGAGUGCAGAAGGAGAAGAGUGGAUUCCACGUGUAGCGGUGAAAUGCGUAGAGAUGUGGAGGAACACCAGUGGCGAAUGCGACUCUUUGGUCUGUAACUGACGCUGAGGCGCGAAAGCGUAGGGGAGCAAACAGGAUUAGAUACCCUGGUAGUUCACGCCGUAAACGAUGAGUGCUAAGUGUUAGAGGGUUUCCGCCCUUUAGUGCUGCAGCAAACGCAUUAGGCACUCCGCCUGGGGAGUACGGCCGCAAGGCUGAAACUCAAAGGAAUUGACGGGGGCCCGCACAAGCGGUGGAGCAUGUGGUUUAAUUCGAAGCAACGCGAAGAACCUUACCAGGUCUUGACAUCUCCUGACAACCCUAGAGAUAGGGCGUUCCCCUUCGGGGGACAGGAUGACAGGUGGUGCAUGGUUGUCGUCAGCUCGUGUCGUGAGAUGUUGGGUUAAGUCCCGCAACGAGCGCAACCCUUGAUCUUAGUUGCCAGCAUUCAGUUGGGCACUCUAAGGUGACUGCCGGUGACAAACCGGAGGAAGGUGGGGAUGACGUCAAAUCAUCAUGCCCCUUAUGACCUGGGCUACACACGUGCUACAAUGGAUGGUACAAAGGGCUGCGAGACCGCGAGGUUAAGCGAAUCCCAUAAAACCAUUCUCAGUUCGGAUUGCAGGCUGCAACUCGCCUGCAUGAAGCCGGAAUCGCUAGUAAUCGCGGAUCAGCAUGCCGCGGUGAAUACGUUCCCGGGCCUUGUACACACCGCCCGUCACACCACGAGAGUUUGUAACACCCGAAGUCGGUGGGGUAACCUUUUGGAGCCAGCCGCCUAAU